UCAGGACGAACGCUGGCGGCGUGCCUAAUACAUGCAAGUCGAACGAACUCUGGUAUUGAUUGGUGCUUGCAUCAUGAUUUACAUUUGAGUGAGUGGCGAACUGGUGAGUAACACGUGGGAAACCUGCCCAGAAGCGGGGGAUAACACCUGGAAACAGAUGCUAAUACCGCAUAACAACUUGGACCGCAUGGUCCGAGUUUGAAAGAUGGCUUCGGCUAUCACUUUUGGAUGGUCCCGCGGCGUAUUAGCUAGAUGGUGGGGUAACGGCUCACCAUGGCAAUGAUACGUAGCCGACCUGAGAGGGUAAUCGGCCACAUUGGGACUGAGACACGGCCCAAACUCCUACGGGAGGCAGCAGUAGGGAAUCUUCCACAAUGGACGAAAGUCUGAUGGAGCAACGCCGCGUGAGUGAAGAAGGGUUUCGGCUCGUAAAACUCUGUUGUUAAAGAAGAACAUAUCUGAGAGUAACUGUUCAGGUAUUGACGGUAUUUAACCAGAAAGCCACGGCUAACUACGUGCCAGCAGCCGCGGUAAUACGUAGGUGGCAAGCGUUGUCCGGAUUUAUUGGGCGUAAAGCGAGCGCAGGCGGUUUUUUAAGUCUGAUGUGAAAGCCUUCGGCUCAACCGAAGAAGUGCAUCGGAAACUGGGAAACUUGAGUGCAGAAGAGGACAGUGGAACUCCAUGUGUAGCGGUGAAAUGCGUAGAUAUAUGGAAGAACACCAGUGGCGAAGGCGGCUGUCUGGUCUGUAACUGACGCUGAGGCUCGAAAGUAUGGGUAGCAAACAGGAUUAGAUACCCUGGUAGUCCAUACCGUAAACGAUGAAUGCUAAGUGUUGGAGGGUUUCCGCCCUUCAGUGCUGCAGCUAACGCAUUAAGCAUUCCGCCUGGGGAGUACGGCCGCAAGGCUGAAACUCAAAGGAAUUGACGGGGGCCCGCACAAGCGGUGGAGCAUGUGGUUUAAUUCGAAGCUACGCGAAGAACCUUACCAGGUCUUGACAUACUAUGCAAAUCUAAGAGAUUAGACGUUCCCUUCGGGGACAUGGAUACAGGUGGUGCAUGGUUGUCGUCAGCUCGUGUCGUGAGAUGUUGGGUUAAGUCCCGCAACGAGCGCAACCCUUAUUAUCAGUUGCCAGCAUUAAGUUGGGCACUCUGGUGAGACUGCCGGUGACAAACCGGAGGAAGGUGGGGAUGACGUCAAAUCAUCAUGCCCCUUAUGACCUGGGCUACACACGUGCUACAAUGGAUGGUACAACGAGUUGCGAACUCGCGAGAGUAAGCUAAUCUCUUAAAGCCAUUCUCAGUUCGGAUUGUAGGCUGCAACUCGCCUACAUGAAGUCGGAAUCGCUAGUAAUCGCGGAUCAGCAUGCCGCGGNNAAUAC
Molecule: ribosomal RNA, 1379 nt
Filed under: Lactiplantibacillus plantarum
Lineage: Bacteria; Bacillati; Bacillota; Bacilli; Lactobacillales; Lactobacillaceae
Description: bacterial SSU rRNA
Rfam family: Bacterial small subunit ribosomal RNA
Source: RNAcentral